CGCACGGUGGCUUAGUGGUUAGCACAUUAGCCUCACACCUCCAGGGUCGGGGGUUCAUUUCCCUCCUGUGUGU
This is a non-coding RNA of Ameiurus melas (black bullhead), 73 nucleotides long. Lineage: Eukaryota; Metazoa; Chordata; Actinopteri; Siluriformes; Ictaluridae. The record is from the annotation of a GenBank genome assembly.